RNAcentral lists this ribosomal RNA (112 nucleotides) under Caerostris darwini. The record is from RNAcentral. Lineage: Eukaryota; Metazoa; Arthropoda; Arachnida; Araneae; Araneidae.
AACGGCCAUACCAUGCUGAAUAUGCCGGUUCUCGUUAGAUCACCGAAGUCAAGCAUCAUUGGGCGCGGUCAGUACUUGGGUGGGUGACCACCUGGGAACACCGCGUGCCGUU